Caenorhabditis elegans is the source of this 88-nucleotide non-coding RNA. NCBI's taxonomy places the organism in Eukaryota, Metazoa, Nematoda, Chromadorea, Rhabditida, Rhabditidae. The record is from Ensembl.
UAGGUUUAAGCUUAGGAUUAGUCUUAGGCUUAGGCUUAGGAUCAGGUUGAGGCUUAAGUUUAGGCUCAGGCUUAGGCUUAGGCUUAGA